RNAcentral lists this ribosomal RNA (1171 nucleotides) under Itersonilia pannonica. RNAcentral describes it as "eukaryotic LSU rRNA". Lineage: Eukaryota; Fungi; Basidiomycota; Tremellomycetes; Cystofilobasidiales; Mrakiaceae. The record is from RNAcentral.
GUUCGUAGUGACUGCGGAGGAUCACUAGUGAAACAUCGGGGAGCGUCUUAACUGACCUCCCCAACCCUUCACAAUCCACAUACACCUGUGCACAGUUUUGGCUUUUGAGCAAUCGAAAGCCAAUCAUUUUAUACAAACCCCUAGUUUAAUGAAUGUAACCGUUUUAUAUAAACAAAAUAAAACUUUCAACAACGGAUCUCUUGGUUCUCGCAUCGAUGAAGAACGCAGCGAAAUGCGAUAAGUAAUGUGAAUUGCAGAAUUCAGUGAAUCAUCGAAUCUUUGAACGCACCUUGCGCUCCUUGGUAUUCCGAGGAGCAUGCCUGUUUGAGUGUCAUGAAACUCUCAACCUCUGACUUUCUUAAUCGUCGGUCAGCGGCUUGGAUGUGGGCGCUGCCGGUCUUAAUUGAUCGGCUCGCCUGAAAAACAUUAGCGAAUCCCUUCUGUAAUCGGUUCCACUCGACGUGAUAAGUAUUUCGUCGAGGACAUCUUUAUUGAUGGCCGAGAUAAAGCUGGUUUAAGAUCUGCUUCUAACUCUUUCGUUGCCUUUUGGUAAAGAAAACCCCUCAUGAUCUGGCCUCAAAUCAGGUAGGACUACCCGCUGAACUUAAGCAUAUCAAUAAGCGGAGGAAAAGAAACUAACAAGGAUUCCCCUAGUAACGGCGAGUGAAGCGGGAUGAGCUCAAAUUUAAAAUCUGGCUGCCUCAGGUGGUCCGAGUUGUAGUCUCGAGAAGUGUUUUCCGCGUUGGCCUGUGUACAAGUCCUUUGGAAUAAGGCGUCAUAGAGGGUGAGAAUCCCGUCCUUGACACAGAUCCCCAAUGCUUUGUGAUGCGCUCUCAAAGAGUCGAGUUGUUUGGGAAUGCAGCUCAAAAUGGGUGGUAAAUUCCAUCUAAAGCUAAAUAUUGGCGAGAGACCGAUAGCGAACAAGUACCGUGAGGGAAAGAUGAAAAGCACUUUGGAAAGAGAGUUAAACAGUACGUGAAAUUGUUGAAAGGGAAACGAUUGAAGUCAGUCAUGCUCGUAGGGAUUCAACCGGUUCUGCCGGCCUAUUUCCCUACUUGCAGGCCAGCAUCAGUUUUGACCGGUGGAAAAGGUUGGAAGGGAAUGUGGCAUCCUCCGAAUGGGGUUAUAGCCCCUCUUUCGCAUACAUUCGGUUKGGAACUGAGGAACGCAA